Molecule: ribosomal RNA, 251 nt
Filed under: uncultured prokaryote
Description: partial 16S rRNA
Rfam family: Bacterial small subunit ribosomal RNA
Source: RNAcentral
ACGGGGGGAGCAAGCGUUGUCCGGAAUCAUUGGGCGUAAAGGGCGUGUAGGCGGUUCGGCAAGUCGAAUGUGAAAUCCCACGGCUCAACCGUGGAACUGCGUUCGAAACUGCCUUACUUGAGUGCGGGAGAGGUGGGCGGAAUUCCUGGUGUAGGGGUGGAAGCCGUAGAUAUCAGGGAGAAUACCGGUGGCGAAGGCGACCUACGGGCCAAUGACUGCCGCUUAGGUGUGAAAGUGUGGGGAGCUAACGG